UGAGUACGAGACGCUAAGGCGUCGAAGUAGUGGAUGUCAUACUUCCAAGAAAAGCUUGCACUGUCAUAAAUAGAAAACGCCUGUACCAUAACCGACACAGGUGGGUAGGUAGAGUAUACUAAGGGGCGCGAGAUAACUCUCUCUAAGGAACUCGGCAAAAUGACUCCGUAACUUCGGGAGAAGGAGUGCCUUAUUCGUAAGGCUGCAAUAACAAGAUCCAAGCAACUGUUUAUCAAAAACACAGGUCUCCGCUAAGUUGUAAGACGAUGUAUGGGGGCUGACGCCUGCCCAGUGCCAGAAGGUUAAAGAAGUCGGUUAGCAUUAGCGAAGCUGGUAACUGAAGCCCUGGUGAACGGCGGCCGUAACGAUAACGGUCCUAAGGUAGCGAAAUUCCUUGUCGGGUAAGUUCCGACCCGCACGAAAGGCGUAAUGAUUUUGGAUACUGUCUCGGAGAGGGGCUCGGUGAAAUAGACUUGUCUGUGAAGAUGCGGACUACCUGCACCAGGACAGAAAGACCCUAUGAAGCUUUACUGUAACUUGAAAUUGAAAUUGGACUUUAUUCGCGCAGUAUAGGUGGGAGGUGUUGAUUAUAAUCUUGCGGGAUUAUUGGAGCCAUCAGUGAGAUACCACUCUUGUAAUGUUAGAUUUCUAACUUUGAAUCAUUAUCUGGUCAAAGAACAGUUUCAGGCGGGCAGUUUGACUGGGGCGGUCGCCUCCUAAAUGGUAACGGAGGCGUACAAAGGUUUCCUCUGAACGGGUAGAAAUCGUAUCUAGAGUGUAAAGGCAUAAGGAAGCUUGACUGUGAGACCUACAAGUCGAGCAGGGACGAAAGUCGGUCUUAGUGAUCUGACGGUACUGAGUGGAAAGGCCAUCACUCAACGGAUAAAAGUUACUCUAGGAUAACAGGCUGAUCUCCCCCAAGAGUUCACAUCGACGGGGAGGUUUGGCACCUCGAUGUCGGCUCAUCGCAUCCUGGGGCGGUAGUACGUCCCAAGGGUUGGGCUGUUCGCCCAUGAAAGCGGUACGCGAGCUGGGUUCAGAACGUCGUGAGACAGUUCGGUCCAUAUCCGGUGUAGGCGUUAGAAUAUUGAGAGGAGCCUUCUUUAGUACGAGAGGACCGAGAAGGACAUACCUCUGGUGUACCAGUUAUCGUGCCAACGGUAAACGCUGGGUAGCUAUGUAUGGAGUGGAUAACCGCUGAAAGCAUCUAAGUGGGAAGCCCACCUCAAGAUAAG
Molecule: ribosomal RNA, 1235 nt
Filed under: metagenome
Description: bacterial LSU rRNA
Rfam family: Bacterial large subunit ribosomal RNA
Source: RNAcentral